This 617-nucleotide long non-coding RNA is filed under the name Coturnix japonica (Japanese quail). RNAcentral describes it as "lncRNA (ENSCJPG00005009940.1)". Lineage: Eukaryota; Metazoa; Chordata; Aves; Galliformes; Phasianidae. The record is from RNAcentral.
AUAAGUUGAAGGGGUGGGGCUAAGGUACGCAAGAUGUUUGAAUAGGCUUUAUUUUUCUUUGAAAUACAGUCACUGGUGGGAUUAAGGAAGAAGUAUGUCACCGCUAGGAUUAUGGAGCAGUGAGUGCUUGGAGGAGAUGAAUACACAAGAAUAGCCUCACAGUUUCCAAAACCACAAGUCGUGUUUAUGGUUCAAGGAACAGCAGUACAAGCAGUUCACAGGCAGCAUUCCUCUGAGCAGUACUUCAGGAGAAACAGAAAGAAGUCCUCUUAUGAAAGAAGAGGAAGCUGUUCCACUAAUCUGUUUCUCAUAGACUGUUCUGUUAAAAAGGGCAGUUGCCCUUUGGUCCCAUGAGAAGAGCACUACUGCACAGAGAGGAUGUUGGCAGAGAUGCUAACAACUGUCUGUAGAAUAGAGCUGGCUCAUGGAUCAAAUGAAAACAUUGUAAGAAGAACAGGUCCUACAAGAAAAGCUUACUGAGUUGUACAUUCAUAUCAGAUGAAGAAUAGAGCGCUCUUGAAAGCGUCUAUGGAAAAGUACAAUGUCAUAAGUAAGUGGGCCUGCAAAAAUGCUGGUGGGGAUUUGAAAUGUGGCAAUAAAUCUUCAGAUGUAACGCA